RNAcentral lists this ribosomal RNA (292 nucleotides) under uncultured bacterium. RNAcentral's name for it is "partial 16S ribosomal RNA". It matches the Rfam family "Bacterial small subunit ribosomal RNA", at positions 505 to 796 of the family's 1533-position model. The record is from RNAcentral.
GUGCCAGCAGCCGCGGUAAGACAGAGGCCUCAAGCGUUAGGCGGAAUCACUGGGCUUAAAGCGUGUGUAGGCGGAUGCCUAAGUACCUUGUGAAAUCCCACGGCUCAACCGUGGAACUGCUGGGUAUACUGGGUGUCUUGGGCCAUUCAGGGGCGACUGGAACAAGCGGUGGAGCGGUGAAAUGCGUAGAUAUCGCUUGGAACGCCGAAGGUGAAAACAGGUCGCUGGGGAUGUGCCGACGCUGAGACACGAAAGCCAGGGGAGCAAACGGGAUUAGAUACCCCUGUAGUCC